AUAAAGUGAUUUUUCAGUUUUUAGAUACAAUGUUUUGAUUUUGUCUUAUUUAAAAUUAUUUUGCGAUUAAUAAUUUUAUUGUUACUAGAUGAUAAAAUAUAAAUAGUACUUUAUGCGUGGCUAAUUUUUUAAAGUUUUUUUACAAAAUUUUAAAUAAGACGAAUGGUCGAAGCAUUUGACACAAAAAUUGAAAAAUGACAUUAUU
RNAcentral lists this microRNA precursor (205 nucleotides) under Oryza brachyantha (malo sina). RNAcentral describes it as "MIR812 microRNA precursor family". It matches the Rfam family "MIR812 microRNA precursor family". The record is from Rfam by way of RNAcentral. Lineage: Eukaryota; Viridiplantae; Streptophyta; Magnoliopsida; Poales; Poaceae.